Long non-coding RNA from Cannabis sativa, 789 nucleotides. RefSeq lists it as uncharacterized. The record is from RefSeq and is a predicted model, not a curated record. Lineage: Eukaryota; Viridiplantae; Streptophyta; Magnoliopsida; Rosales; Cannabaceae. The transcript has 3 exons.
AUUAAGUGAACCACAGUGUAGUUUGUACUCAAUGUUAUAUAAAUAAGAUCUUUAGCUUUCAUUUCCUUUCAAAUUCUAUAAAGCUUCUCAACGCUCCCCCAAGAUUCUUCUAGACCAACGUUUUAAAAGUGCUUUCAUUUUUUUGGUUUCUGAUACCAUAAAAAUCAAGCAACCUCACACCAUAUUUCUUUUUCUCUCUCUCUCUCGUUUGUCCAUUCUUCAUUUACCAAAAUCAUAUAAAGUACUACAGUUCAUAUGCUAAGGUUCAAGGGUAUUAUUAUACAAGAGUUUCUGCUAGAACAUUAAAUAAAAGAUAUAAGGUAUUGUUCGAGUUGGUUUUCCUCUAAAAAUUUUAAGUGCAAUCAAAGGUUUCUCCACAUUCGAGACCAAGGAGUCUAGAAUGCCGGUGGCGAGUGGAACUUUGGGUGCUUGUGUGUGUGAACUCGCUGAGGACCAUAUAACUGCAGGCAGUCUAGGGCGCUCUGUUUAUUUAUUUACGUUAUUUAACUUAUGUCGCAAUUAUUUUAGUUAUUAAUUAUUAUGUCUUUUGUACGAAAACUGGUCAAUUGUGAACAUUUUCAGGUAUUAAAUAAAAAUGCGACAUUAUUUUUUUCCGCGUUUAACACUUGUAAAUAAAAUUAAUAUUUUUUAUAAAAGUACGGGCGUUACACUAUAUUGCAAAAAUAGAUUUUCUACUUUUUAGUGUUGGUUUUAAACUGAAAUCUAUACUUAUAAGUAAGUUUAUAAAAUUGAUAUUUAUUUCACAGUCACAAAAAAUUAAAAUUUAAG